AAAUUGCUUGGCAGGUCCUUUGGUUUAGCUUUUCAUGAGUCCAUAGGUGAUAGGCCUCCUCCCAUGAAAUAUCUCUCCCAUCAGUCUGUGGCCACCUUAUUAGUUGGAAGGAUUUGGCAUGCUUCCAGUUAUUAAUAAACGGAGAUUUUCAGUUAUUUAAUAAUUAGAGGCAAGCCAAAUCUUAGUUGAAAACAAUCCGAAGAGGAAGAAGAAGUUGCAAGGGAUGAAAGUCGUGCUCAAGUUUCAUUUUGUCUCUCUAUCAAUGCCAUGUUACGUGAUCGCUUUGUUUGUUAACACUUUCUCAUUAUCCCUCUUGGUUUUUGUUUUUAAAACAAAAACAUUACCAAACAAUUCAAAACAUUAAAAACUAUUUUCUUUUUAUGUCACAUCAGAACACUUUUUCAAACAAAAAGCAUUAACAAACGAACCACAUUAUGUGACAGCACAGUUUGAAAGCCCAAAAUCUUGUUAUUUGCAGUUCAAGUCCUUUGUCCAGCCAUUCUCAUGCAAUCAUUAACUCAAUUUUCACAUUUCAUCAAGAGAGAGCCAUGCUGAGCAAAGAACGAGCAGCUGACAUGUAUAGACUAAAG
This is a long non-coding RNA of Corylus avellana, 590 nucleotides long. RefSeq lists it as uncharacterized. NCBI's taxonomy places the organism in Eukaryota, Viridiplantae, Streptophyta, Magnoliopsida, Fagales, Betulaceae. The record is from RefSeq and is a predicted model, not a curated record.